Molecule: ribosomal RNA, 426 nt
Filed under: uncultured bacterium
Lineage: Bacteria
Description: partial 16S ribosomal RNA
Rfam family: Bacterial small subunit ribosomal RNA
Source: RNAcentral
UGGGGAAUAUUGGACAAUGGGCGAAAGCCUGAUCCAGCAAUACCGCGUGUGUGAAGAAGGCCUUCGGGUUGUAAAGCACUUUAAGUUGGGAAGAAAAAACUUUACCUAAUACGUGAAGUCUUGACGGUACCGACAGAAUAAGCACCGGCUAACUCUGUGCCAGCAGCCGCGGUAAUACAGAGGGUGCUAGCGUUAAUCGGAUUUACUGGGCGUAAAGCGUGCGUAGGUGGGUGGAUAAGUCGGUUGUGAAAGCCCCGGGCUCAACCUGGGAAUUGCGGCCGAUACUGUCAGACUCGAAAACGGUAGAGGGAGGUGGAACUCCAGGUGUAGCGGUGAAAUGCGUAGAUAUCUGGAAGAACAUCGAUGGCGAAGGCAGCCUCCUGGGCCUGUUUUGACACUGAGGCACGAAAGCGUGGGUAGCAAACA